This is a non-coding RNA of Schistosoma margrebowiei, 45 nucleotides long. NCBI's taxonomy places the organism in Eukaryota, Metazoa, Platyhelminthes, Trematoda, Strigeidida, Schistosomatidae. The record is from Rfam.
ACCUUGCUGAUGAGUGCCAAGUAGCACGAAACCCGUGUCCAGGGU